CCUACGGGAGGCUGCAGUGGGGAAUUUUGGACAAUGGGGGCAACCCUGAUCCAGCCAUGCCGCGUGAGUGAAGAAGGCCUUCGGGUUGUAAAGCUCUUUCGGCCGGGAAGAAAUCGCAUGGGCUAAUACCCUGUGUGGAUGACGGUACCGGAAUAAGAAGCACCGGCUAACUACGUGCCAGCAGCCGCGGUAAUACGUAGGGUGCGAGCGUUAAUCGGAAUUACUGGGCGUAAAGCGUGCGCAGGCGGUUUUGUAAGACAGGCGUGAAAUCCCCGGGCUUAACCUGGGAACUGCGCUUGUGACUGCAAGGCUAGAGUACGGCAGAGGGGGGUGGAAUUCCACGUGUAGCAGUGAAAUGCGUAGAGAUGUGGAGGAACACCAAUGGCGAAGGCAGCCCCCUGGGUCGAUACUGACGCUCAUGCACGAAAGCGUGGGUAGCAAACAGGAUUAGAUACCCCGGUAGUC
Molecule: ribosomal RNA, 465 nt
Filed under: uncultured bacterium
Lineage: Bacteria
Description: bacterial SSU rRNA
Rfam family: Bacterial small subunit ribosomal RNA
Source: RNAcentral